AAACUCUGAUGCAGCGAUGCCGCGUGAGUGAAGAAGGCCCUUGGGUUGUAAAGCUCUUUUGUCGGGUAAGAUAAUGACUGUACCCGAAGAAUAAGGUCCGGCUAACUUCGUGCCAGCAGCCGCGGUUAUACGNAGGGACCUAGCGUAAUUCGGAAUUACUGGGCGUAAAGCGCGCGUAGGCGGUUNAAAAAGUUCAUUGUGAAAUCCCAAAGCUCAACUUUGGAACUGCCAUNUAAACUGUUUAACUAGAGUUUAUCAGAGGAAAGCGGAAUUCAUAGUGUAGAGGUGAAAUUNGUAGAUAUUAUGUAGAACACCAGUUGCGAAGGCGGCUUUCUGGGNUAAUACUGACACUGNUGNGCGAAAGCAUGGGUUGCGAAGAGGAUUAGAUACCCUCGUAGUCCAUACCGUACACGAUGAUUGCACGACGUUGGAAAUGUAUUUUCAGCUUCACAGNUAACGCGUUUAACAAUCCGCCUGGGGAGUACGACCGCCAGGUUAAAACUCAAA
This 507-nucleotide ribosomal RNA is filed under the name uncultured Alphaproteobacteria bacterium. RNAcentral describes it as "bacterial SSU rRNA". It matches the Rfam family "Bacterial small subunit ribosomal RNA", at positions 378 to 905 of the family's 1533-position model. Lineage: Bacteria; Pseudomonadati; Pseudomonadota; Alphaproteobacteria. The record is from RNAcentral.